UAAAAAAAAAAAAAAAACUAAUCUAGCUCAAGAGAGGUUAAUGCCUCAUUUUUCAUCACUAGGAGGCUAGAUUACAUACAAGCCCUUUUUUUGAACAUUUUCGAAAGUUGCUGAUUAGUUCAGUUUGCUAUUGAUUCCAUAUAAACUUUUUUCUUUUUCCUUUAAUUUUUAUUUACUUUUCCUAUUAGCGAAUCUGCUAAUGAAGUGUCUGUAAACAGAAAUCAAAGGACAUUCCGCCCCAAAAAGAGUGCACCAUCAGGAAGUAAGGUCGGUUUUCAUUGUUUAAUUAGUAAUGUUGGCAAUCUCUUCUUUGGUGGCUAAGCGUAAUAUGAUAUAUGAUCUCAUAUAAUGAUUUGACUUUCCAAAUGAUUAUAUGUUGCUUGGGCAAUUAUAUUUGUCUUCUUUUGGAAACUGUUAAUUAUUAAUUGACAAUUUCUUUUGCAGUUGCAUGUAGCGAGAAUCACUUUGCUAUCAUUUUUUACUGAUGGAUGGUUUGAAAUGGGCAUGUUAGAGGAAAUCACAUGUUUAUGUUUGGAGUUCUACUGUUCAAAUUUUUGCAAAUUUGGGCAAAUGGCUUUUUGAUGAAUUUAGGACAUCCUUGAAAUUUCAUUGGUAGAGUGGUGAAUGUAGGACGCUAUUACUGUUUUUGGUUUGAGCAUAAGUAUAUAAAAAAAAUGUGAGUUGUGGAUACUGCAUAGGGAAAGGAAAACUUGUCUCUUCCUACUCCUCAAGAAUGUCUAGGUACCCAUAUAUUUUGUUUGAGAGAGAUUUCUAGGAUGUUGAGAGACUAUCUGCUUAUCAGAAUUUUUUCAGCAUCCAAUUAUUUGAAGUACCUUUGAGUUGUGUCUAAAUUAGGAAUGUUCCAAGAAGGUGGCGUGUUCUUUAUUCUGUGGGCCACUAAAUAUGAACUUGAAAAAUGAAAUCUUGUAUGUCUAGAGAUUCAUUUUCACUUUCUGUUGCCUGAUUCUUUAGUGGGCAAUAAAUGUUGCUCAGAAUUUGACACUUCUCCUCCCCUCUUUUGGCACUCGUUUUAUUAAUGGAACCUUUUUUCCCGUCAACUAUUAGAAGACAAAAAAAUAAUUUGGCAACUGCCUCCAAAACAUGCUACAAUUCACACUAGAAUUGGAUCAUGAAGAGUCCGACAUUGGAAAAGAAUAAGGAAUUUAAAGGGCUUAUAAGGGUGGAAGGCCAGCUAACUAAUUGGGUAGUUCUAACCUUUUAGCAAUGGCUGGUCCAAGCCCAAGUAAGCCCAUCUCACUCCACCCUCUCAUUUACCUUUGUUCGUUUAAUUCUAGUUUGUGAUAUGGUAUUAGAGUAGAUCUGGCCAAAUUCAAUUCAAGUGUCAAGGUUCCCGGCUGUGUCAAAGUUCAAGGUUUCUGGGGGAAGGAUUUCAAGUUUCAAGUGUCAACCAAAAUGGUUACCACUUGAGGGGGAGUGUCAAUAGUCCUGCAUUGGAAAAGAAUAAGGAAUUUAAAGGGCUUAUAAGGGUGGAAGGCCAGCUAACUAAUUGGGUAGUUCUAACCUUUUAGCAAUGGCUGGUCCAAGCCCAAGUAAGCCCAUCUCACUCCACCCUCUCAUUUACCUUUGUUCGUUUAAUUCUAGUUUGUGAUAUGGUAUUAGAGUAGAUCUGGCCAAAUUCAAUUCAAGUGUCAAGGUUCCCGGCUGUGUCAAAGUUCAAGGUUUCUGGGGGAAGGAUUUCAAGUUUCAAGUGUCAACCAAAAUGGUUACCACUUGAGGGG
This 1739-nucleotide unclassified non-coding RNA is filed under the name Hevea brasiliensis (rubber tree). The record is from RNAcentral. Lineage: Eukaryota; Viridiplantae; Streptophyta; Magnoliopsida; Malpighiales; Euphorbiaceae.